UGAGGAAUAUUGGUCAAUGGACGAGAGUCUGAACCAGCCAAGUAGCGUGAAGGAUGACUGCCCUAUGGGUUGUAAACUUCUUUUAUACGGGAAUAAAGUUAGCCACGUGUGGUUUUUUGCAUGUACCGUAUGAAUAAGGAUCGGCUAACUCCGUGCCAGCAGCCGCGGUAAUACGGAGGAUCCGAGCGUUAUCCGGAUUUAUUGGGUUUAAAGGGAGCGUAGGCGGGGUAUUAAGUCAGUUGUGAAAGUUUGCGGCUCAACCGUAAAAUUGCAGUUGAUACUGGUAUCCUUGAGUGCAGCAGAGGUGGGCGGAAUUCGUGGUGUAGCGGUGAAAUGCUUAGAUAUCACGAAGAACUCCGAUUGCGAAGGCAGCUCACUGGAGUGUAACUGACGCUGAUGCUCGAAAGUGUGGGUAUCAAACAGGAUUAGAUACCCUGGUAGUCCACACAGUAAACGAUGAAUACUCGCUGUUGGCGAUACAAUGUCAGCGGCCAAGCGAAAGCAUUAAGUAUUCCACCUGGGGAGUACGCCGGCAACGGUGAAACUCAAAGGAAUUGACGGGGGCCCGCACAAGCGGAGGAACAUGUGGUUUAAUUCGAUGAUACGCGAGGAACCUUACCCGGGCUUGAAUUGCAACUGACUGAGCUGGAAACAGUUCUUUCUUCGGACAGUUGUGAAGGUGCUGCAUGGUUGUCGUCAGCUCGUGCCGUGAGGUGUCGGCUUAAGUGCCAUAACGAGCGCAACCCUUAUCGAUAGUUACCAUCAGGUUAUGCUGGGGACUCUAUCGAGACUGCCGUCGUAAGAUGUGAGGAAGGUGGGGAUGACGUCAAAUCAGCACGGCCCUUACGUCCGGGGCUACACACGUGUUACAAUGGGGGGUACAGAAGGCAGCUACACGGCGACGUGAUGCUAAUCCCCAAAACCUCUCUCAGUUCGGAUUGGAGUCUGCAACCCGACUCCAUGAAGCUGGAAUCGCUAGUAAUCGCAGGUCAGCAUACUGCGGUGAAUACGUUCCC
RNAcentral lists this ribosomal RNA (1016 nucleotides) under uncultured bacterium. Its description in RNAcentral is "bacterial SSU rRNA". It matches the Rfam family "Bacterial small subunit ribosomal RNA", at positions 355 to 1375 of the family's 1533-position model. The record is from RNAcentral.